CGCACGGGUGAGUAACGCGUAGGUAAUCUACCCUUAUAACUGGGAUAACAUUGGGAAACUGGUGCUAAUACCGGAUACACUUCUUUACUGCGGGGUAAAGGAGGAAAGGUGGCCUCUUCAUGAAAGCUACCGUAUAGGGAUGAGCCUGCGUACCAUUAGCUAGUAGGCGGGUAACGGCCCACCUAGGCAACGAUGGUUAGCGGGUCUGAGAGGAUGAUCCGCCACACUGGAACUGGAACACGGACCAG
This 248-nucleotide ribosomal RNA is filed under the name uncultured bacterium. Its description in RNAcentral is "partial 16S ribosomal RNA". It matches the Rfam family "Bacterial small subunit ribosomal RNA", at positions 99 to 334 of the family's 1533-position model. The record is from RNAcentral.